GGCGAGCGGCAGGCGGCUAGGGUUUGUGGUCUGGUGUGGGGGUUCUAUUUAUAACCCCUUGCCUUUUGAUCUCAGCCGUUCAUUUUGUUUUAAUCUGUGCCGUUCGUUUUUGAUUGAAUCUGGGCCGUCCGUGCGAUUGCAUCUGGGCCGUCCGAUCGCGCGAUUGAUCUGGGCCGUCCGAUCGCGCUCACGCGGAUCGCCAACGUAGCCCGUUCCGGAGUGAUGUGGUCUUGCCACGUGGCAGGCCCCGGUUGGCCGGGAUUGCUAACCGGGCCUGCUGAUGUGGCUGCCGACGUGGCUUUUUUUUUUUUUUUUUUUUUUCGGUCCUUUUUCUCCGGGCGCUACAACUCUCCCCCCCUUAAAGAAAUUUGGUCCCCAAAUUUGCCUCAUUACUCUUGAUCAAACAGAUGGGGAUAUUAUGUCCUAAAUUCUGAUUCCAGUUUCUAAGUCGCCUCCCUAGGCGUGUGGUUCUGCCACAUGACUUUUACAAAUGAUAUUUCCCGGUUGCGGAGUAUUCUGCUUUCUCGGUCCGUGAUACUGACCGGUACUUCUUCAUAAGACAAGUCCUCUCGGAGUGAAAGCGGUUCAUGAGCCACGACAUGAGAAGGGUCCGGAUUGUACUUGCGUAGCAUAGAUACAUGAAACACAUUAUGAACCCGGGAGAGCUCAGGGGGCAGUGCAAGUCUGUAGGCAGUGGUACCAAUCUUGUCUAAGAUUUCAAAGGGUCCAAUGUAUCUGGGGUUUAAU
RNAcentral lists this long non-coding RNA (747 nucleotides) under Carica papaya (papaya). RNAcentral describes it as "long non-coding RNA (CPAP_LNC013667)". The record is from RNAcentral. Lineage: Eukaryota; Viridiplantae; Streptophyta; Magnoliopsida; Brassicales; Caricaceae.